AUUGAACGCUGGCGGCAGGCCUAACACAUGCAAGUCGAACGGUAGCACAGAGAGCUUGCUCUCGGGUGACGAGUGGCGGACGGGUGAGUAAUGUCUGGGAAACUGCCCGAUGGAGGGGGAUAACUACUGGAAACGGUAGCUAAUACCGCAUAACGUCGCAAGACCAAAGUGGGGGACCUUCGGGCCUCACACCAUCGGAUGUGCCCAGAUGGGAUUAGCUAGUAGGUGGGGUAAUGGCUCACCUAGGCGACGAUCCCUAGCUGGUCUGAGAGGAUGACCAGCCACACUGGAACUGAGACACGGUCCAGACUCCUACGGGAGGCAGCAGUGGGGAAUAUUGCACAAUGGGCGCAAGCCUGAUGCAGCCAUGCCGCGUGUAUGAAGAAGGCCUUCGGGUUGUAAAGUACUUUCAGCGGGGAGGAAGGCGGUGAAGUUAAUAGCUUCACCGAUUGACGUUACCCGCAGAAGAAGCACCGGCUAACUCCGUGCCAGCAGCCGCCGCCG
This 504-nucleotide ribosomal RNA is filed under the name uncultured bacterium. RNAcentral's name for it is "partial 16S ribosomal RNA". It matches the Rfam family "Bacterial small subunit ribosomal RNA", at positions 30 to 523 of the family's 1533-position model. The record is from RNAcentral.